This is a long non-coding RNA of Oreochromis niloticus (Nile tilapia), 1389 nucleotides long. RefSeq lists it as uncharacterized. Lineage: Eukaryota; Metazoa; Chordata; Actinopteri; Cichliformes; Cichlidae. The transcript has 4 exons. The record is from RefSeq and is a predicted model, not a curated record.
UAGGGGAGUUUUCCUCUCCUGUCUUACGCAUUGUGGUCCGAUGUCUCAGAGGAGGAUCCUAUUUAUUUCUUCUUAGGUUACAAAUCAGAGCACAAACAGGGCAGACACAACAGAAGCAAACAUGUUGUACUUGAUCGGAAUCGUUGUUGGUCUUCUGUUCGUCAUAUAUUGGUUUUCACAGGGACUUAAAGAGGGAAAUAAGUCACAAAAGUCCCAGCUCCCAGAAUCCUCUGCAAACAACAAGAUGAAUGAUCUUAGCGAAGACGACUUGCAUUUAUUGGCAAAGAUCCUUUCGGUUGGAUUGGUGGAUGCGGAUCCGAACUACCUCCAUCACCUAAAAGGCUACAGGGACUUGCGUGGUCCCUGAUCUCCUUUGGAAAAAAGAAAGAAAAAGAAACAAGGAGCUCAUCUGGAGCGACGGGUGGAUACAAAAACAGACUUUCCUGGAGAUCUUGAAGGAUUUGUGAUGUCAUCAAAUCAAUGCUGAUUUGGAUUACAAGUUAUUCUCACAUCACCCUGCAGAUGUUUCAUGAUCACAGGAUAAAACAUGCAAUAUGUUCAGUUUAAACGUGACACUGGCAUUGAAUAACUCAGAGGUGCACACAACUGCGUUAUGUUAAACAUGGAUCCUAACUGCUUUACUGUUGCCUUUGUAACCCUCGGCUGUGCUGCUUGUUGCAAGUAAUCUGGCUCAAUGCUGCUAUUUAACAUUUAGCUAAAAUGCUAAAUUGGUGUUACAAGGAGCGCAAGUGGAGAAGAAUACAGUCUUUAUCGCAAUCAUUACCCAGUCAUCAAAUCAGAACAAUGUGUAACGCAUUAGGCAAGGGUGUGUUUUGUCCUGUGGUUCAAACUGUUUUUCGUAAGAGAAAGAAUGGAUUGUUUGCAUAGUCUCACUUCAAAGAGAACCAUGUGACCAUUUCAGUUUGGGAAAAGAUUCAAUUAAUUUGUUUCUCUUGUCUUUUUGUUCACGUCCUUGUCUGGAAAGAGGAGACAAAAGAGAGAGUUAAACAAAGAGACAGAUUAGAUUCUCGUGUUGUUGUUGUUAUUUUUUAAACAUUUUUAUUUUUGCAUGAUAUGGCAAACUUAAAGCCUCUUACCCCAGACACGUCUGCUGAGCUCGUUCCCGAGCAGGUAGAGUGAGAUCACCACAGACAUGUUAAAAAAGAAGAAGCCCACCAGACCAGGAGCACUGAAGCGCCCCAGAAGAGGAUACACCCAAAUCCCGACUGACAUGUACACCCAUAUAAUCCUGCAGAAUAUGUUCAUAGUAUAAAAGAAAAAAAGAAGGGGAAAAAAAGGUUUGGCUCAUGCAAACAUUCACCCAGUGUGUUCACACAGUCAUUGUAACAGCAAAGCAGCAGCAAAAAUAAACAUCUCAUAUGCAAUGAA